AACGAACGCUGGCGGCGUGCUUAACACAUGCAAGUCGAACGAUGAACCCGGAGCUUGCUCCGGUGGAUUAGUGGCGAACGGGUGAGUAACACGUGAGUAACCUGCCCUUGACUCUGGGAUAACUGCGGGAAACUGUAGCUAAUACCGGAUACGACCCUCGGCGGCAUCUGCGGGAUUGGAAAGUUUUUCGGUCAGGGAUGGGCCCGCGGCCUAUCAGCUUGUUGGUGAGGUAGUGGCUCACCAAGGCGACGACGGGUAGCCGGCCUGAGAGGGCGACCGGCCACACUGGGACUGAGACACGGCCCAGACUCCUACGGGAGGCAGCAGUGGGGAAUAUUGCGCAAUGGGCGAAAGCCUGACGCAGCAACGCCGCGUGAGGGAUGACGGCCUUCGGGUUGUAAACCUCUUUCAGCAGGGAAGAAGCGAAAGUGACGGUACCUGCAGAAGAAGCACCGGCUAACUACGUGCCAGCAGCCGCCGUAA
This 483-nucleotide ribosomal RNA is filed under the name uncultured bacterium. Its description in RNAcentral is "partial 16S ribosomal RNA". It matches the Rfam family "Bacterial small subunit ribosomal RNA", at positions 29 to 523 of the family's 1533-position model. The record is from RNAcentral.